AUUGAACGCUGGCGGCAUGCCUUACACAUGCAAGUCGAACGGCAACACGGGAGCAAUCCUGGUGGCGAGUGGCGAACGGGUGAGUAAUACAUCGGAACGUGCCCAGUAGUGGGGGUUAACCCGGCGAAAGCCGGACUAAUACCGCAUACGACCUACGGGUGAAAGCGGGGGAUCGCAAGACCUCGCGCUAUCGGAGCGGCCGAUGUCAGAUUAGCUAGUUGGUGGGGUAAAGGCCUACCAAGGCGACGAUCUGUAGCUGGUCUGAGAGGACGACCAGCCACACUGGGACUGAGACACGGCCCAGACUCCUACGGGAGGCAGCAGUGGGGAAUUUUGGACAAUGGGCGCAAGCCUGAUCCAGCCAUGCCGCGUGCGGGAAGAAGGCCUUCGGGUUGUAAACCGCUUUUGUCAGGGAAGAAACGCUCCGGGCUAAUACCACGGAGUAAUGACGGUACCUGAAGAAUAAGCACCGGCUAACUACGUG
This 484-nucleotide ribosomal RNA is filed under the name uncultured bacterium. RNAcentral's name for it is "partial 16S ribosomal RNA". It matches the Rfam family "Bacterial small subunit ribosomal RNA", at positions 29 to 507 of the family's 1533-position model. The record is from RNAcentral.